UGGGGAAUAUUGCACAAUGGGCGCAAGCCUGAUGCAGCCAUGCCGCGUGUAUGAAGAAGGCCUUCGGGUUGUAAAGUACUUUCAGCGGGGAGGAAGGGAGUAAAGUUAAUACCUUUGCUCAUUGACGUUACCCGCAGAAGAAGCACCGGCUAACUCCGUGCCAGCAGCCGCGGUAAUACGGAGGGUGCAAGCGUUAAUCGGAAUUACUGGGCGUAAAGCGCACGCAGGCGGUUUGUUAAGUCAGAUGUGAAAUCCCCGGGCUCGACCUGGGAACUGCAUCUGAUACUGGCAAGCUUGAGUCUCGUAGAGGGGGGUAGAAUUCCAGGUGUAGCGGUGAAAUGCGUAGAGAUCUGGAGGAAUACCGGUGGCGAAGGCGGCCCCCUGGACGAAGACUGACGCUCAGGUGCGAAAGCGUGGGGAGCAAACAGG
Molecule: ribosomal RNA, 429 nt
Filed under: Chloroflexota bacterium
Lineage: Bacteria; Bacillati; Chloroflexota
Description: Chloroflexi bacterium partial 16S ribosomal RNA
Rfam family: Bacterial small subunit ribosomal RNA
Source: RNAcentral